UACGGAGGGUGCAAGCGUUGUCCGGAAUCACUGGGCGUAAAGGGCGCGUAGGCGGCUCAUGAAGGCUGUGGUGAAAGUCCGGGGCUCAACCUCGGAUCGGCCGUGGCGACUCGUGGGCUGGAGCACUGUAGAGGCGGGUGGAAUUCCGGGUGUAGCGGUGGAAUGCGUAGAGAUCCGGAGGAACACCAGUGGCGAAGGCGGCCCGCUGGGCAGUGGCUGACGCUGAGGCGCGACAGCGUGGGGAGCAAACAGG
Molecule: ribosomal RNA, 253 nt
Filed under: uncultured bacterium
Lineage: Bacteria
Description: partial 16S ribosomal RNA
Rfam family: Bacterial small subunit ribosomal RNA
Source: RNAcentral